AUGGGAGGAGCUGUGGCGCUCAUCCCCUCGAUGCGCUACACGGAUAAACCACCUGCUUCUGAACUCUCCGUCUGCUCCUACAUGCAUACUCUGAACGUCUUUUCAGUAAAACUUGCUGGAAUAGACGAUUCUCUACGGUGGCCAUUGCAUGUGUUCGGUGUCGUUGCUGCCCGCGACUAUCUGGAUCACAAUCGCAAUAUAAUAUUUCUUCAGGACAGGGAUAACUGCCAAAUCAUCCACCAGAAGGAUCCAUAUCUAGAACUGACAGGUCCUACACGUGGUGUUGUGGUGGUGGAUCCUACGGAAUUCGAGGUUAAAUUGAAAGUUAAGGGCUCUACUGAAUCUGAGGACAGGGAUUUAAGCUUUCUCAUUACACGGUACAAUUGUUACGACUCGGAGAAUCGUUCACGCGUGAUUAAUAGAGUUAUGACUAGCCUGCUUAGUACACUGGAGCUGACAUUUGGCCACAUUGUUCGCUCGGUGGAGGCCACGAUCAGUGUGAGAUUCAUAGGUGGGACAUGGCCAGAUGGUUUCCGAGGUGUAUUUACCGCAAGUACCGCCAGCAUACAUCACAUGGAGGUCACGUUGCUUGCUUUUCGAGAUGGUAUAUUACGUGUUGAUUCCUGUGGCAUGAUCGCGCUUUCACGAGACGUUGCUUGCGUUGACCUUGAUGGAAAGCUGAAAGUUUCUGUCGCGGCGCGAGGUGAAGACAAGGAAGCUGUUGGAGAGAGUGCUGAUAUGGUUUUCACGCCUAAGAAAGCUGGUAGAAGCUGUGGUAUCAUGAAGAUUGGGUCAUGCGAGAUGGAAGUCACUGUGGCCUGGUCUGUUUUCACGGCUUGCAUGUUUGCCCGUGAUCCCAGUGCAUGCCUAGCCGUCUGGGAUCCCUUUUUUCGGCCCUCUGAUUCUGAUUAG
RNAcentral lists this ribosomal RNA (912 nucleotides) under Triticum aestivum (bread wheat). RNAcentral describes it as "partial small subunit ribosomal RNA". The record is from RNAcentral. Lineage: Eukaryota; Viridiplantae; Streptophyta; Magnoliopsida; Poales; Poaceae.